AACGAACGCUGGCGGCAGGCUUAACACAUGCAAGUCGAGCGCCCCGCAAGGGGAGCGGCAGACGGGUGAGUAACGCGUGGGAACGUACCUUUUGGUUCGGAACAACUCCGGGAAACUGGAGCUAAUACCGGAUAAGCCCUAACGGGGAAAGAUUUAUCGCCGAAAGAUCGGCCCGCGUCUGAUUAGCUAGUUGGUGAGGUAACGGCUCACCAAGGCGACGAUCAGUAGCUGGUCUGAGAGGAUGAUCAGCCACACUGGGACUGAGACACGGCCCAGACUCCUACGGGAGGCAGCAGUGGGGAAUAUUGGACAAUGGGCGCAAGCCUGAUCCAGCCAUGCCGCGUGAGUGAUGAAGGCCUUAGGGUUGUAAAGCUCUUUUGUCCGGGAAGAUGAUGACUGUACCGGAAGAAUAAGCCCCGGCUAACUUCGUG
RNAcentral lists this ribosomal RNA (431 nucleotides) under uncultured bacterium. Its description in RNAcentral is "partial 16S ribosomal RNA". It matches the Rfam family "Bacterial small subunit ribosomal RNA", at positions 29 to 507 of the family's 1533-position model. The record is from RNAcentral.